Molecule: microRNA, 22 nt
Filed under: Salmo salar (Atlantic salmon)
Lineage: Eukaryota; Metazoa; Chordata; Actinopteri; Salmoniformes; Salmonidae
Description: ssa-miR-29b-4-5p
Gene: ssa-miR-29b-4-5p
Source: miRBase by way of RNAcentral
ACCAUUUUCUUUUGGUGUUUAG